RNAcentral lists this ribosomal RNA (880 nucleotides) under Pseudobeltrania lauri. Its description in RNAcentral is "partial large subunit ribosomal RNA". It matches the Rfam family "Eukaryotic large subunit ribosomal RNA", at positions 52 to 959 of the family's 3401-position model. Lineage: Eukaryota; Fungi; Ascomycota; Sordariomycetes; Amphisphaeriales; Beltraniaceae. The record is from RNAcentral.
GGAGGAAAAGAAACCAACAGGGAUUCCCCUAGUAACGGCGAGUGAAGCGGGAACAGCUCAAAUUUGAAAUCUGGCCCUCGGGUCCGAAUUGUAAUUUGUAGAGGAUGCUUUUGGUGCGGUACUUUCCGAGUUCCCUGGAACGGGACGCCUUAGAGGGUGAGAGCCCCGUACGGUUGGAUACCAAGCCUUUGUAAAGCUCCUUCGACGAGUCGAGUAGUUUGGGAAUGCUGCUCUAAAUGGGAGGUAAAUUUCUUCUAAAGCUAAAUACUGGCCAGAGACCGAUAGCGCACAAGUAGAGUGAUCGAAAGAUGAAAAGCACUUUGAAAAGAGGGUUAAAUAGCACGUGAAAUUGUUGAAAGGGAAGCGUUUAUGACCAGACUUUUUCCAGGCGGAUCAUCCGGUGUUCUCACCGGUGCACUUCGUCUGGUUGAGGCCAGCAUCGGUUUUCGUAGGGGGAUAAAAGCGGUAGGAAUGUGACUCCUUCGGGAGUGUUAUAGCCUGCCGUAUAAUACCUCUACGGGGACCGAGGUUCGCGCAUCUGCAAGGAUGCUGGCAUAAUGGUCAUCAACGACCCGUCUUGAAACACGGACCAAGGAGUCGAACAUUUGUGCAAGUGUUUGGGUGUUAAACCCUCACGCGUAAUGAAAGUGAACGGAGGUGAGAGCCCUUACGGGUGCAUCAUCGACCGAUCCUGAUGUUUUCGGAUGGAUUUGAGUAAGAGCAUAACUGUUCGGACCCGAAAGAUGGUGAACUAUGCGUGGAUAGGGUGAAGCCAGAGGAAACUCUGGUGGAGGCUCGCAGCGGUUCUGACGUGCAAAUCGAUCGUCAAAUCUGCGCAUGGGGGCGAAAGACUAAUCGAACCAUCUAGUAGCUGGUUACC